This 491-nucleotide ribosomal RNA is filed under the name uncultured bacterium. RNAcentral describes it as "partial 16S ribosomal RNA". It matches the Rfam family "Bacterial small subunit ribosomal RNA", at positions 29 to 506 of the family's 1533-position model. The record is from RNAcentral.
AGUGAACGCUGGCGGUAGGCCUAACACAUGCAAGUCGAACGGCAGCACAGUAGGAGCUUGCUCUUACGGGUGGCGAGUGGCGGACGGGUGAGGAAUACAUCGGAAUCUACUUUUUCGUGGGGGAUAACGUAGGGAAACUUACGCUAAUACCGCAUACGACCUACGGGUGAAAGCAGGGGAUCUUCGGACCUUGCGCGAUUGAAUGAGCCGAUGUCGGAUUAGCUAGUUGGCGGGGUAAAGGCCCACCAAGGCGACGAUCCGUAGCUGGUCUGAGAGGAUGAUCAGCCACACUGGAACUGAGACACGGUCCAGACUCCUACGGGAGGCAGCAGGGGGGAAUAUUGGACAAUGGGCGCAAGCCUGAUCCAGCCAUACCGCGUGGGUGAAGAAGGCCUUCGGGUUGUAAAGCCCUUUUGUUGGGAAAGAAAAGCAGCAGGUUAAGACCCCGCUGUUCUGACGGUACCCAAAGAAGAAGCACCGGCUAACUUCGU